Molecule: ribosomal RNA, 459 nt
Filed under: uncultured bacterium
Lineage: Bacteria
Description: partial 16S ribosomal RNA
Rfam family: Bacterial small subunit ribosomal RNA
Source: RNAcentral
CCUACGGGUGGCAGCAGUGAGGAAUAUUGGUCAAUGGCCGGAAGGCUGAACCAGCCAAGCCGCGUGAGGGAUGAAGGCGCAGAGCGUCGUAGACCUCUUUUGCCGGGGGACAAAAGUCCGGACGCGUCCGGUCCUGAGGGUACCCGGAGAAAAAGCAUCGGCUAACUCCGUUCCAGCAGCCGCGGUAAUACGGAGGAUGCGAGCGUUAUCCGGAUUUAUUGGGUUUAAAGGGUGCGCAGGCGGGCCGUUAAGCCGGCGGUGAAAUCGCGGGGCUCAACCCCGCCGAGCCGUCGGAACUGGGUGCCUUGAGUGGGCGAGAAGGAUGCGGAAUGCGCGGUGUAGCGGUGAAAUGCAUAGAUAUCGCGCAGAACCCCGAUUGCGAAGGCAGCGUGCCGUGCCGCCACUGACGCUGAGGCACGAAAGCGCGGGGAUCGAACAGGAUUAGAUACCCUAGUAGUC